Molecule: long non-coding RNA, 1034 nt
Filed under: Heterocephalus glaber (naked mole-rat)
Lineage: Eukaryota; Metazoa; Chordata; Mammalia; Rodentia; Bathyergidae
Description: lncRNA (ENSHGLG00100035121.1)
Source: RNAcentral
CUGGGAUGGGGAUGAUACCUGCAUGCUUCCUGGCAUCAUGGGCGGCCAAGAGCUUCCAAUGCCACAGCUGCUGCCCGGCUGGGAGCCCCACGCCCGCCACCACUGAUUGCAGUGUGUGCCAUUUGUUACAUUUUUAACAGCCCUGCUAGGCCCAGGCUGUCUGAGCCGAGCCAAAGGCGGGCCCUGAUCUUGAUUGCAGUGCUAAAAAUACUGGCGAGGCUUCUGAUGAGAGCAGGGGGCUUGGCCUCCCCUUGGCCCAGCCCCUCAGCUCUUUGCUGCCUUUGCUGUCUUCCUUCAGAGUGGCUUGGGGGACCCUGGCGGCUGGGGGGCAGGGAACCUUCUUCACUCUCAAACAAGCAUCAGGGCCAAAGGCAGAAUGCCCCCCCGCCACCCCGUUCUGGGUAACUGAUGGCAGGGAGGGAGGCUUUCUGAAUGCUGGGAAUCCCAGGUGUCAUCUGUGCUCUGUGGACAGUCCUGUGAUCUGUUGGGACUCAGGUGUGAGGUGUGGUGGAUCUGUGCUGAGAAGAGAGCUAAAACUUCCCCGGCUACUCUGUGCCUUUCUUCCCUUGCUCCCCACUUCCAGUCGCUGUUCAAAUCUUGUAGGUUCUACUGUCUACUUGAUCUCUUCCAUCCUCUUUCCAGUCCCUUGGCCUCUGCUCAGCUCAGUCCCCUUUCUGAGCAUUCCUCCAACACCCUCCAGGUCACCCAUUGUUGUCAGUAGAUUUUCCUAAAACUCAGCUUCUUUUGGCCAUUUCUCUUCCUCUAAUCCUGUCUCCUUGGGCCAGUAUGUAAGACAUUCCAUGAUCUGACCUUGGCGGAUUGUUCUAAACUGAUUUCCGUCCCAGGCACCCUCAGUAACAAGUCAUGUUGGACUGUUCUCUGUUCCUGGUACAUGUCUCAGUGUCAUCUUGCCUCCGUUUCCUAAGUGGUCAAUCUGUGAGAAGCUGAAGGCAAAUCACUUCAGAACACUGUCAAUUAGCAUAAUUACAAAGCUCAUGGACCCUUUUGCUGGAGUGGUGGGCUGGGGAACAGAC